UUGUUAAGAGAGCCUUUUCAGGCGGAGCUUUGAUGCUUACAACAAUGGAUGGGGAGGAUUUCACUCGUCCUGUGAAUUCAGAUGCAGUUAAGAGAUACUUUGCCUAAAAAAAAAAAGUAUAUGCAAAUAAAAAAAAAAGAAUGAAAAAACAGAAUAGCUCGCUAAGUUGAAAACCCGAAAGGGCAGCUUAGGCAAAAAUGAGCGUCUCGGUGGAGAACCCGCAAGGGUAAUUCAGGCAAAAAUUAGAGACU
Molecule: long non-coding RNA, 251 nt
Filed under: Lathyrus oleraceus (garden pea)
Lineage: Eukaryota; Viridiplantae; Streptophyta; Magnoliopsida; Fabales; Fabaceae
Description: Pisum sativum (pea) long non-coding RNA (PSAT_LNC008698)
Source: RNAcentral